Molecule: transfer RNA, 68 nt
Filed under: Phyllobacterium zundukense
Lineage: Bacteria; Pseudomonadati; Pseudomonadota; Alphaproteobacteria; Hyphomicrobiales; Phyllobacteriaceae
Description: tRNA-Arg
Rfam family: tRNA
About the family: Transfer RNA (tRNA) molecules are approximately 80 nucleotides in length. Their secondary structure includes four short double-helical elements and three loops (D, anti-codon, and T loops).
Source: RNAcentral
GAUCAAGCAGUUAGCGCAAGGGUUUUCUACACCCUGGGUUACAGGUUCAAGUCCUGUCGUGUUCGCCA